RNAcentral lists this unclassified non-coding RNA (383 nucleotides) under uncultured fungus. RNAcentral describes it as "partial contains small subunit ribosomal RNA, internal transcribed spacer 1, and 5.8S ribosomal RNA". The stretch from base 1 to 73 matches the Rfam family "Eukaryotic small subunit ribosomal RNA", at positions 1759 to 1831 of the family's 1831-position model. The record is from RNAcentral. Lineage: Eukaryota; Fungi.
UCAAACUUGGUCAUUUAGAGGAAGUAAAAGUCGUAACAAGGUUUCCGUAGGUGAACCUGCGGAAGGAUCAUUAGCGAAAUUCAUACGGGGUUUUGGAUUGUUGCUGGCUUUUCAGAGCAUGUGCACAUUCAGCCUCGAUCUUUUUCACCUCCUGUGAACUUUUGUAGGCCUUGAUGAAGAAGCUUCCCAAGUUCCAAACCAGUUUUGGGUUGUCAGGAAAGAUUGCUCAGCUUUCUUUCGUUUUGGGCUCUCUCUCAUUUUAGGUUUUACGUUUUUUAAUCAAACACUGAAUUGACCAAGUAUGUAUGCAUGUUGCAUGAAAAAGUUUUAAUACAACUUUCAACAAUGGAUCUCUUGGCUCUCGCAUCGAUGAAGAACGCAGC